Molecule: ribosomal RNA, 253 nt
Filed under: uncultured bacterium
Lineage: Bacteria
Description: partial 16S ribosomal RNA
Rfam family: Bacterial small subunit ribosomal RNA
Source: RNAcentral
UACGGAGGGGACUAGCGUUGUUCGGAAUUACUGGGCGUAAAGCGCACGUAGGCGGAUUUGUAAGUCAGGGGUGAAAUCCCGGGGCUCAACCUCGGAACUGCCUUUGAUACUGCAAAUCUCGAGUCCGGAAGAGGUGAGUGGAAUUCCUAGUGUAGAGGUGAAAUGCGUAGAGAUGUGGAGGAACACCAGUGGCGAAGGCGACUCUUUGGACUGUAACUGACGCUGAGGCGCGAAAGCGUGGGGAGCAAACAGG